GUCGAGCGGAUGACGGGAGCUUGCUCCUGGAUUCAGCGGCGGACGGGUGAGUAAUGCCUAGGAAUCUGCCUGGUAGUGGGGGACAACGUUUCGAAAGGAACGCUAAUACCGCAUACGUCCUACGGGAGAAAGCAGGGGACCUUCGGGCCUUGCGCUAUCAGAUGAGCCUAGGUCGGAUUAGCUUGUUGGUGAGGUAAUGGCUCACCAAGGCGACGAUCCGUAACUGGUCUGAGAGGAUGAUCAGUCACACUGGAACUGAGACACGGUCCAGACUCCUACGGGAGGCAGCAGUGGGGAAUAUUGGACAAUGGGCGAAAGCCUGAUCCAGCCAUGCCGCGUGUGUGAAGAAGGUCUUCGGAUUGUAAAGCACUUUAAGUUGGGAGGAAGGGUUGUAGAUUAAUACUCUGCAAUUUUGACGUUACCGACAGAAUAAGCACCGGCUAACUCUGUGCCAGCAGCCGCGGUAAUACAGAGGGUGCAAGCGUUAAUCGGAAUUACUGGGCGUA
Molecule: ribosomal RNA, 506 nt
Filed under: Pseudomonas sp.
Lineage: Bacteria; Pseudomonadati; Pseudomonadota; Gammaproteobacteria; Pseudomonadales; Pseudomonadaceae
Description: bacterial SSU rRNA
Rfam family: Bacterial small subunit ribosomal RNA
Source: RNAcentral